Molecule: ribosomal RNA, 673 nt
Filed under: uncultured bacterium
Lineage: Bacteria
Description: bacterial SSU rRNA
Rfam family: Bacterial small subunit ribosomal RNA
Source: RNAcentral
CAGUCGAACGGGAAAUAUUUCAUUGAGACUUCGGUGGAUUUGAUCUAUUUCUAGCGUCGGACGGGUGAGUAACGCGUGGGUAACCUGCCUUAUACAGGGGGAUAACAGUCAGAAAUGGCUGCUAAUACCGCAUAAGCGCACAGAGCUGCAUGGCUCGGUGUGAAAAACUCCGGUGGUAUAAGAUGGACCCGCGUUGGAUUAGCUAGUUGGUGGGGUAACGGCCCACCAAGGCGACGAUCCAUAGCCGGCCUGAGAGGGUGAACGGCCACAUUGGGACUGAGACACGGCCCAGACUCCUACGGGAGGCAGCAGUGGGGAAUAUUGCACAAUGGGGGAAACCCUGAUGCAGCGACGCCGCGUGAAGGAAGAAGUAUCUCGGUAUGUAAACUUCUAUCAGCAGGGAAGAUAGUGACGGUACCUGACUAAGAAGCCCCGGCUAACUACGUGCCAGCAGCCGCGGUAAUACGUAGGGGGCAAGCGUUAUCCGGAUUUACUGGGUGUAAGGGGAGCGUAGACGGUGUGGCAAGUCUGAUGUGAAAGGCAUGGGCUCAACCUGUGGACUGCAUUGGAAACUGUCAUACUUGAGUGCCGGAGGGGUAAGCGGAAUUCCUAGUGUAGCGGUGAAAUGCGUAGAUAUUAGGAGGAACACCAGUGGCGAAGGCGGCUUACUGGA